GUUGAUAGAGGCGCGUUUGCGCAAAAGUACGUUUGGUGUGCAGCCUACCGCAGGGCGUUGCCAAACGGAAAGGGCCAAACGCCGAAGACGGUCGCUUUGCGGACGGCCGAUCUGGCAAAGUAUACGAACAGUUGCUUUGCUGUCGCAUGAAUUUGCGGAGCGCUAUCU
This 168-nucleotide non-coding RNA is filed under the name bovine gut metagenome. Its description in RNAcentral is "Lysine riboswitch". It matches the Rfam family "Lysine riboswitch aptamer". From Rfam's summary of the family: Riboswitches are metabolite binding domains within certain messenger RNAs that serve as precision sensors for their corresponding targets. Allosteric rearrangement of mRNA structure is mediated by ligand binding, and this results in modulation of gene expression. The record is from RNAcentral.